GAUGAACGCUGGCGGCGUGCCUAAUACAUGCAAGUCGAGCGAACAGACGAGGAGCUUGCUCCUCUGACGUUAGCGGCGGACGGGUGAGUAACACGUGGAUAACCUACCUAUAAGACUGGGAUAACUUCGGGAAACCGGAGCUAAUACCGGAUAAUAUAUUGAAUCGCAUGGUUCAAUAGUGAAAGUCGGUUUUGCUGUCACUUAUAGAUGGAUCCGCGCCGCAUUAGCUAGUUGGUAAGGUAACGGCUUACCAAGGCGACGAUGCGUAGCCGACCUGAGAGGGUGAUCGGCCACACUGUAACUGAGACACGGUCCAGACUCCUACGGUAAGCAGCAGUAGGGAAUCUUCCGCAAUGGGCGAAAGCCUGACGGAGCAACGCCGCGUGAAUGAUGAAGGUCUUCGGAUCGUAAAACUCUGUUAUUAGUGAAGAACAAAUGUGUAUGUAACUAUGCACGUCUUGACGGUACCUAAUCAGAAAGCCACGGCUAACUACGUG
Molecule: ribosomal RNA, 497 nt
Filed under: uncultured bacterium
Lineage: Bacteria
Description: partial 16S ribosomal RNA
Rfam family: Bacterial small subunit ribosomal RNA
Source: RNAcentral